This 500-nucleotide ribosomal RNA is filed under the name uncultured bacterium. RNAcentral describes it as "partial 16S ribosomal RNA". It matches the Rfam family "Bacterial small subunit ribosomal RNA", at positions 30 to 523 of the family's 1533-position model. The record is from RNAcentral.
AUUGAACGCUGGCGGCAUGCCUUACACAUGCAAGUCGAACGGCAGCACGGGAGCAAUCCUGGUGGCGAGUGGCGAACGGGUGAGUAAUAUAUCGGAACGUGCCCAGUCGUGGGGGAUAACGCAGCGAAAGCUGUGCUAAUACCGCAUACGAUCUAAGGAUGAAAGCGGGGGAUCGCAAGACCUCGCGCGAUUGGAGCGGCCGAUAUCAGAUUAGCUAGUUGGUGGGGUAAAGGCCCACCAAGGCGACGAUCUGUAGCUGGUCUGAGAGGACGACCAGCCACACUGGAACUGUGACACGGUCCAGACUCCUGCGGGAGUCAGCAGUGGGGAAUUUUGGACAAUGGGCGCAAGCCUGAUCCAGCAGUGCCGCGUGCAGGAUGAAGGCCUUCGGGUUGUAAACUGCUUUUGUACGGAACGAAACGGCCCUUUCUAAUACAGGGGGCUAAUGACGGUACCGUAAGAAUAAGCACCGGCUAACUACGUGCCAGCCGCCGCCGUAA